This 496-nucleotide ribosomal RNA is filed under the name Ablaberoides quasitus. RNAcentral describes it as "partial 16S large subunit ribosomal RNA". It matches the Rfam family "Bacterial large subunit ribosomal RNA", at positions 1844 to 2600 of the family's 2925-position model. Lineage: Eukaryota; Metazoa; Arthropoda; Insecta; Coleoptera; Scarabaeidae. The record is from RNAcentral.
UUUAAGGUCUAAUCUGCCCAAUGAGAAGUUAAAUGGCCGCGGUACUUUGACCGUGCAAAGGUAGCAUAAUAAUUAGUUUUUUAAUUGAAAGCUGGAAUGAAUGAUUGGACGAGAAAAUUACUGUCUCAAAUUAAUUUAUAUUAGAAUUUUAUUUUUAAGUAAAAAAGCUUAAAUUUUUUUAAAAGACGAGAAGACCCUAUAGAGUUUUAUAGUAUGAUAGUUAUGGUUUUUUUAGAAUUUUUAUAUUUAUAAUUUUUUUACUAUUUUAUUGGGGUGAUAGAAAAAUUUAAUUAACUUUUUUUUUUAUUUUACAUUGAUUUAUGAAUUUAUGAUCCAUUAUUUAUGAUUAUAAGAUUAAAUUACCUUAGGGAUAACAGCGUAAUUUUUUUUUAGAGUUCUUAUCGAAAAAAGGGAUUGCGACCUCGAUGUUGGAUUAAAAUAAAUUUUUGGUGUAGAAGCUGAAGUAUUAAGUCUGUUCGACUUUUAAAAUUUUACA